Alnus glutinosa is the source of this 642-nucleotide long non-coding RNA. RefSeq lists it as uncharacterized. The transcript has 3 exons. The record is from RefSeq and is a predicted model, not a curated record. NCBI's taxonomy places the organism in Eukaryota, Viridiplantae, Streptophyta, Magnoliopsida, Fagales, Betulaceae.
AUUAGAAGCACAUUUGAAGCACAUAUAUGGCGAAGACUCCAAAAUCUGUUUAUAUCCUUCUUAUAAUUAUAUUCAUUAUCUUCAUCUUCGUUACAAGUGAGGCAAAACAUUGCCCGCGUUGGAGCCAAACAUGGCAUAAAAGAUGCGCAUACGACAGCCACUGCGACAAAAAAUGCAAAGAACUGGAGCGUGCGGAUUACGGAAUAUGCCUAAGGCUUCAUUGGUGGUCAUUUAGUUUUCACUGUUACUGCUACUUCGACUGUUGAAUGGGUUUUAGGCAGAUGGGUAGGUGGCUGGAAUGCUUAGGCUUUUGAGGGUCAUCAUCUCAUCCACUAUGUUACUUUAUUGUAUUUAUAUUUUGUUAAACUAUGUUUUAUGUUAGUAAUUGCAUCUGGCACAGACAAAAAAAAAAUGGAUCACUCAACUUGUUAAGUCGUGUUGUUAUGUACUCUUUAUGUUAAGAACUUAUGCUUCCGCAAAAAUAUUAUUUUCUCAUGGCAUGCAUGGUAGUAGUUUACAAGUGCCAUAGCGUCUUAAUAUGUAACAUUGCGCCUCUGAAACUGUAAGGCUAACGGACUAGACUCUUUUGGGUCUAGGCAUUACAAUAACAAUAACAAUAACAAAAAUGCUCUUUUCCUUGAA